AGUGGCUUGUGAUGUCUCAGAGGAAGUUUGCUGAUGCUGCCAUAAAGUUUAUCUUGUCAUUGGGAACUGGAAAGAACCUGAUCCCAUCCUCCUUGCACCUUCCCUUCAGGUCAAAUUGCUCCUGUUCCACUCCUUCUCCCACUGCAUGGAAUAAAGCUUAUUUGCCAAGGACCUAUUGUGGAUUCUGCCCUUUGUGAGAGAUUUAAGCUUGUGCUCCAUUUGCAAUAAAAAGGGCUGUGUAGAAGCAGAAAAUGCCAUCUUUGAAGAAGGAUGAGCUAUUUCUGCAGUCAGUGAGGGACAUUAAAGGAUUUCUGUGUAGGAAUCUUCACAUAAAUUUCUUCUUCUUCACCCAGAGACAUGCUCAUUUCCAGUGAGUUAGCAUUUCAUUGUUGUGCAGUUGUUUAAUGUUGCUUUCCUUUGACAAAUGGUACCUUUUCAACUAAAUAAAACAAGCUA
Lonchura striata (white-rumped munia) is the source of this 456-nucleotide non-coding RNA. NCBI's taxonomy places the organism in Eukaryota, Metazoa, Chordata, Aves, Passeriformes, Estrildidae. The record is from RefSeq and is a predicted model, not a curated record.